UCCUGGUGGCUCAGAGGUUAAAGCAUCUGCCUGCAAUGCGGGAGACCUGGGUUCGAUCCCUGGGUCAGGAA
This is a non-coding RNA of Bos taurus (domestic cattle), 71 nucleotides long. NCBI's taxonomy places the organism in Eukaryota, Metazoa, Chordata, Mammalia, Artiodactyla, Bovidae. The record is from Rfam.